CUCUGAAGAAAAAGCUUUACGAGGAGAGAUCCUGAUCAUGGUGAAGUUGAUCGAGCAGAGACCCUGGUCGUAGAAAGAGGACAACCAGAAUCUCGCAUCAACAUAAUGUAUGCAAAUUGAACAAAUUGAAAUGAAAUGAACAAUACAUUUCGUAAAAGCUCUUGUCUACUCCAAUAUUGAGGCAGCUUCAAAAACAAUUAAAAUCAACUCAACUCGACAAUUUACAUAACCAUCCAUGCUAUAUACAGACACCAUAAACUACUCCCACAGACUUCUUCGUCAACGCUUUCAUCAAACUGAUAUGACGAACAUAGUACAUCAAUAUGUACGAGGCAAAUAAAACAUCUGUAGCAUGCAGUGAUUUGCAAUGUCUCUGAUCCUUGAGAGCCUUGAGUUUGAAUCUGUCCAGACCUGAUUAUGGACAAAAUGCACGAGGAUUCAGUGGAUUUAACAGAAGGAAGACCAAUAAUAAAAUCAUAAAAAUGAAAGCUCAUGCACCUAUAAAAUAGCGAGCGAAUAUUGAGUUGUCUAGUCUAGAUGAAAUCUACUUGAUUCAUAUGGAAGCUAAAUAGUAGUAAGAGUAUUAUAAUCGAAAUAUAAAGAGAGAUAUAUAUAGUACACAACAGCAAUUAGAGUAAUGAUAAAAUAUUAGAUGCAGUUGCCAAAAUUAAACAAAUCGCAAACACAAUAAUGUCACAGGGCCGUUCAGAAAAUACACAGAGCAUAGCAGUACCUCCGGGGAUCUGAAAGUCAUAUUAACAUAAGAAAAGCCAAUUGAUAAUCUAAAUGAUAAUAUGAUUCAGAAAAGGUAUUGAAACUAAACAAGAGGUUGAAAGACAGAAGAUGCAUAUUUUAAAACGUUUCUUCCUGAUGCAGUCAGAAAGGUUUAUAAAUAAAUAGAAGUUAUUUUAUAUAUGAUUCACAUGCAACUCGGCUAGUAUGAGUGAGAGUGAGAACAAUCAAUUGAUACAAAAAAUUUCAGAAAAUCAACUCAGCAAGUGUUCCUAAUUUGGACAUCCCAUGAUGAAGAAAAUUUUUGUACCUAUGCAAUGGUACAAAUUAAAAAAGAGGAGAAAGGUACCACCUUGUUGUAUAUGUCAUGAUAAGAAUCCUUGACUUGUAAAAUCCUUGGGAUGAAGCGAAGAAGAAAUUUACAUCUCUGGAGAACUCUGCAACAAAGUGCUCAAUCCGAUUCUGAGGCAUCAUAUGAAGGGUCAAACUGCAUCAAAAUAAUUGUGCGACUGCAAGAAAAUACAGCAUCAAAACUGAACUGACAACAUAUAUAUAUAUAUAUAUAUAUAUA
RNAcentral lists this long non-coding RNA (1303 nucleotides) under Citrus maxima (pomelo). Its description in RNAcentral is "long non-coding RNA (CMAX_LNC000388)". The record is from RNAcentral. Lineage: Eukaryota; Viridiplantae; Streptophyta; Magnoliopsida; Sapindales; Rutaceae.